GGAAACAGAACUCGAUUGGUUGAGUGUCUCCCUUUUAAGGAGCAUGGUCUUGGUUCGAUCCCAAGUGUUUUCA
Trametes pubescens is the source of this 73-nucleotide transfer RNA. It matches the Rfam family "tRNA". From Rfam's summary of the family: Transfer RNA (tRNA) molecules are approximately 80 nucleotides in length. Their secondary structure includes four short double-helical elements and three loops (D, anti-codon, and T loops). Further hydrogen bonds mediate the characteristic L-shaped molecular structure. tRNAs have two regions of fundamental functional importance: the anti-codon, which is responsible for specific mRNA codon recognition, and the 3' end, to which the tRNAs corresponding amino acid is attached (by aminoacyl-tRNA synthetases). tRNAs cope with the degeneracy of the genetic code in two manners: having more than one tRNA (with a specific anti-codon) for a particular amino acid; and 'wobble' base-pairing, i.e. permitting non-standard base-pairing at the 3rd anti-codon position. Lineage: Eukaryota; Fungi; Basidiomycota; Agaricomycetes; Polyporales; Polyporaceae. The record is from Rfam.